GUAUAAGAGACAGCAGCAGCCGCGGGAAUACAGAGGGUGCGAGCGUUAAUCGGAUUUACUGGGUUUAAAGGGUCCGUAGGCGGAUCUGUAAGUCAGUGGUGAAAUCUCACAGCUUAACUGUGAAACUGCCAUUGAUACUGCAGGUCUUGAGUAAAUUUGAAGUGGCUGGAAUAAGUAGUGUAGCGGUGAAAUGCAUAGAUAUUACUUAGAACACCAAUUGCGAAGGCAGGUCACUAAGAUUUAACUGACGCUGAUGGACGAAAGCGUGGGGAGCGAACAGGAUUAGAUACCCCGGUAGUCCCUGUCUCUUAUAC
RNAcentral lists this ribosomal RNA (314 nucleotides) under uncultured bacterium. RNAcentral's name for it is "partial 16S ribosomal RNA". It matches the Rfam family "Bacterial small subunit ribosomal RNA", at positions 495 to 807 of the family's 1533-position model. The record is from RNAcentral.